RNAcentral lists this ribosomal RNA (409 nucleotides) under Bacillota bacterium. Its description in RNAcentral is "Firmicutes bacterium partial 16S ribosomal RNA". It matches the Rfam family "Bacterial small subunit ribosomal RNA", at positions 355 to 776 of the family's 1533-position model. The record is from RNAcentral. Lineage: Bacteria; Bacillati; Bacillota.
UGGGGAAUAUUGGACAAUGGGCGGAAGCCUGAUCCAGCAACGCCGCGUGAGGGAUGACGGCCUUCGGGUUGUAAACCUCUUUCAGCACAGACGAAGCGAAAGUGACGGUAUGUGCAGAAGAAGCACCGGCCAACUACGUGCCAGCAGCCGCGGUAAUACGUAGGGUGCGAGCGUUGUCCGGAGUUAUUGGGCGUAAAGGGCUCGUAGGCGGUUUGUCGCGUCGGGAGUGAAAACACACAGCUUAACUGUGUGCUUGCUUCCAAUACGGGCAGACUAGAGGUAUGCAGGGGAGAACGGAAUUCCUGGUGAAGCGGUGAAAUGCGCAGAUAUCAGGAGGAACACCGGUGGCGAAGGCGGUUCUCUGGGCAUUACCUGACGCUGAGGAGCGAAAGUGUGGGGAGCGAACAGG